CCCAUCUCCUCGUGUACUUGUGGUUGCUUCUCUUGGCUUUCAUCAGAAAGAACACCGAGAACACAGGUAAGUUCUUCAUCUCUGCAGGCUGCUGGAAACACCAACUGGCCAGAGGUGUCCAUGGUCUCAUCUCUACCCUCACUGUCAGCAGCAGAGAGGAGAGGAACCUUCGGAAUGGCAUCGUUAUCAUUACAUUCUUUCCUGCCACUCACUUCACUCAUCUUUGCCAGCUCUGUUUGACGUGGCGACGUCAGCAAAGCAGCACUGUGACUCUGUGCAUCCUUGCUUAUCCCACUGCUUAUAGAUAACUUUGAAUUGUUACGCACGCUCUCAGGGAUGCAUUCUUCCUCAGAGUCCUCCAUACUGCCGUUCUGAUUUGCGGUCCCACUGUGCUCCUCCCAAAUAUUUAAACCCUCACUAUCGCCUGAGGGCCUCAGGCCGCCUUCAGACAAGCAGCAGCUCCCAGCAGCCUCCUGCUUCUCCUCCCUCAGCUCUGGAACCAGCGCAGCCCGCUCCUCGGCCUGGAGGAACUCCUCAUCGCUCAGCACAAACACAGUGACCGGGAGAAGGAUUUCGAAGACCUCCGACUCUGAGGACAGAAAAGAACGCUGCGUUAACGUGACUCCCCAAACUCUCUUAGUAACCCACUCCCUUAAAAUGAGUGCGGAACACGUAGAACAGCACCCAGGCACAGCGCCCGCAGCCUCAGGGCCGCGCUCCCUCAGCCCGGGACGUGGCCGCCCCUCCCCCAGCAACGGCGCCCACAAAACGGCCGCCACAGCGCGAUUCGAGCUCCCCUGGAUCCUCAAUAGAGCACCUACCGUUAACCUCCCCCUCCAACAUCGCCUGCUCCACCGACACCGCCAUCCUCGGCCCAAGCGCGGCUGCUCCUGCAACGCCAGCAAGCGUGGCCCGCCUCUCCCCCCAACAGCACCACUGUGCCUGCGCACGGAACAGCUUCCGGGGUGAAAGGUCACGGUUGCCGCCUUCUGAUUGGACGGAGCAGGGGGCGUUGGGAUCUCGACGUUGUGCUGCGCCCUUCUGAGGCGCUGAGCCCAACUGCCCUGGGAUGCCUCCACCCCCCUCGAGGUGGCGGUUGGAGCUCCGCGUUCAGGCCUCGUGGCCAUCUUUUUGUUCUCGUCAAAUAAGCAUAGCCAUCCCGUGUGCCCGGAGGGGAAAAGGUACUGCAGCCAAACAGAUGGUUGCAUUUGAUGCCUUGAGGCCUAUUCUGCACUGACUCAACUGGUUAUGAUGUGCAGUUCUACUGGAAUGAAGCUGCUGACCAUCAGGAGGGUUUUGAAGACAAGUACCAAGGAAGGAGUUGUGUUCCUGAGCAGAACUUUGCACGAGGACUCCAUUAUAUGUUUUGGUUCGUUAUCUCCUGACAUAACAGUUCUGUUGGCCCAGGAUGUGGUUUAUCUUAUCACAUAGAGAUGAUACCCUGUCAAGAUAUGCUCCAGUUUCUGGGAACAAUUGUUCUAUUGUGCUUGGAGAAUGCCUGGGACAACAUGCUAUUGCCCACUGGCAGAGCCUUACAGAAAUGUAGUCUGAAGGCUGAGAAAGACACCUGAACAUGAGUUUUGUAAAUUUGCUAAAGAGCCCCAAAGCGACAGAGGGUCUUGAGAUGAAGCUUCGGGUGCCAUCCCUUGAACUCAGUCAGCUAAGCAGUAUCUUUCACAAGAAGAUAAGAGCUGGGGAAGUCUCCUUAGCAGUGGGAUGCAACAGCAGGCAACUGUGCUGAUGGCUGUCCUUAACAGGGUUGUUUGGAACGGUCCCCUUGGUGCCCCCACAGCUUGUUGUAGAAGUUUUGUCUUCACCAUUCCACCUAAUCAGAAUUUGUUAUCAUCAUUUGUCUCCGUUGUGUCUUUG
RNAcentral lists this long non-coding RNA (1869 nucleotides) under Gallus gallus (chicken). Its description in RNAcentral is "long non-coding RNA NONGGAT006588". The record is from RNAcentral. Lineage: Eukaryota; Metazoa; Chordata; Aves; Galliformes; Phasianidae.